This 156-nucleotide ribosomal RNA is filed under the name Dunaliella sp. Its description in RNAcentral is "5.8S ribosomal RNA". It matches the Rfam family "5.8S ribosomal RNA". From Rfam's summary of the family: 5.8S ribosomal RNA (5.8S rRNA) is a component of the large subunit of the eukaryotic ribosome. It is transcribed by RNA polymerase I as part of the 45S precursor that also contains 18S and 28S rRNA. Lineage: Eukaryota; Viridiplantae; Chlorophyta; Chlorophyceae; Chlamydomonadales; Dunaliellaceae. The record is from RNAcentral.
UCUCAACAACGGAUAUCUUGGCUCUCGCAACGAUGAAGAACGCAGCGAAAUGCGAUACGUAGUGUGAAUUGCAGAAUUCCGUGGAAUCAUCAAAUCUUUGAACGCACAUUGCGUCCGAGGCUCCGGCCGAGGGCAUGUUUGCCUCAGCGUCGGGUU